GGAGCAAGGUCUUCAGCGGAGCACGGAGGCAGAACUACAUCCUCAGUGGAGCAAGAUGGCAGAGUGAUGUCCUCAACCGAGCAGUAAGGUGGAGUGAUAUCUGAAGUGGAGCCUGGCAUAGUGACAUCCAUAGGUGAAGCAGGGAAGAAAAGCGGAGCUCUUGGCUGCACCGGGAGGUGGAGCAACAUCUUCAGCUGAACAGGGAUGCUGGGCGGCAUCCUCAAAUGAGCAGUUAAGCUGAACAACAUUCUCUGUCGACUCAGCAGACUGGACAAGAUCCACAGUGGAGGAGGGAGUAUGGGAGAUGGUUCCAGCCUGGUUAAAAGGCUCCUCCUUGACAUACCUCAUGAUGGAGUACAUCAUGUUGAGCCACUCCUGGUUGGAUCGAAUUAAGGCCUCCGUCGUCUGAGACAAGAAUCUUCACCACCUGAAUUAUGUGUGCCCGUCGUCAUUUUUUCUUCUCUCUUUUCCUGGAGGGGAUGGAUUUGGAUCUGAACACUCACUAUCAGCUCGCGCAUCUCACUGCUGACAUCAUGGUGCUACUUAACAUUCUUCGCAGCACCCCCUCUGGAAAUGGAAAUGCGGGGUCCCGUCCCCCCCUCAGAUACAGAAUCCACCCCGUGAAUGUGUGUAUUGACGCCUCUACACAGACCAACGCUCCCUCCAGCUUUCAGUCUGAGGAUGAUGUCACCUUCUCUGAUCUGGGCUCUGACCAUUCUUCCCUCUUCUCACCUGUCAGUCCGCCAUCCUCUCAGUGGUCUCCUUAUUUCACCUUUGCUGACUAUCCCAUGUCCCCAGGACACACCCCAUUUUCUUCCCCCUACCGCUCUCCUCAAGAUUACGCACCCACCAGUCCUGUGAAUUUUCAAUAAAAUUACGUAUUACUCAUACUAGGUCUCCCUCAUGUUUAUUUCAUGUCAUUUUUAUCCACAACAUUGUACACUGGUAUUUGUUAAGG
Molecule: long non-coding RNA, 958 nt
Organism: Ictalurus punctatus (channel catfish)
Lineage: Eukaryota; Metazoa; Chordata; Actinopteri; Siluriformes; Ictaluridae
Source: Ensembl